UCUAAGAAGAUAAACAAAAAGAUAUGAAUGAAACACAAUUUCAUCAUCACAAAUUCAUUAAACCUCCAUGGAUUUUGUAUUCGUGGAGUUCUUACAUCACAGACCCGUGACGAUUUGAAUCGAUCGAUACCGUUCUAAACCGAAUCGAUACCCAUUGAAUGCAUGUGGCAACAUAUUGCCCAUCGAAUAUAUGUGGCAACGUACCACUGCAAAAUUUCCAAAUUCUCAAAAUUUCCUUCUAAAACAUUCCCACCCUCAUAUAACCUGAUCGACAUCCACCAACACCUUCUUGAUAAACUCUAGUGAUUCAACGAUACAUGUUGCGACACUACCAUCUCAUGAGACUGCCAUUCCCAGUCACCGGACAACGUGACGCAACGAGAAUCGUCAUCACCACACACCAUUUGACAUGACAACCAUUUUCGUCUUCUUCUUUCGCUUUUGCUGUCGUUGAGCAAAAUGAGCCAAAACGUAUUUAAGCUGAAGGGACACUAUGGAAAGGAUCAUGUCAAGAUGGGGGAAAGCAUGUAAGGAUAAUGGAAAGGAUAUAAAGAAGCAUGCACGAAUCGGGCACUCGAGGUAAGUGAUUUCCGGAAUCACUUCUUAGUUGUUUAAGUAAAGUAGCGUUUAAUUAAUUAAGCAUGAUGAUGAUUGAAGUUAAAUAUGGUUUUGGUUGUAUGAAGUUGGUGAUUUUAGCUAAGUAGACAAAAUGGGUCAAAAUGAUGAAGGAAUGAUGUCUAAGUAAUGGCUAUGGUAUCGUAACCGGGUAAUGGGUAGAAUUGCAUAUAAGUGCGCUAACCGAGAAAUGGGGACUUGGGUUAUUGGUCAAAAGAUUUUGCUUUUGACUUUAAACAAAAGAGUUGUUUGACAAUAACACGAACGAGUCGAAUAAAUGUGCAUAAGCUUUGUAAUAAUAAUGAAGCACGUAAAGAUUAAGGACCCGCGGUAAAGAUUUAUAGUCAAUAAUGUAAAACCAAGUUUUACGGACAAAUAGAAAUAAGUUUUGAGCGAAGUGGUUGUGGUAUGUCCUAGAUAUGCGAGUUUUAGUAAUAAAAAUAUGAAUGGGUCAAAUAGUUGAAAACAAGUAUAUAAAGCUGAAGGCUUUAAGUUAAGAUUGUUCUUAGUCCGGAUGUUAUAUUACAAGCUCAUAUGAUAUAAAAUAAAUUUACGAACGCGUAUGAAAAAGAAUCACGAAAAACGGACUUGUAGAUAAAAAGUCAUGGCCAAUUAAAGUUUGAUUUUUGUUUUCAUUAGUUUGAUAUUAGAACGAGGUUAUACUAGUUUAUGUGUUGUCAAAACCAACUUUUAGAAUAAGUUUAAUAAAAAUAAAAGUGGCAAUCAAGAGCUCGUAAGUAUGUAUAUGAAUGUAGGGAUGCAUGUAUAUACGUUGUAAGUUACUAUGAAUGUAAGUGAGAACGGUUUCAAUGCGUUUGAGUAUUGACGAAUACUAAUGAUUUGUCUUGAGGUUGGAAUGUAAUGCAGGUAUGAGAACAUCGGGUUCAUGAAGAAUUAAAGUCGAACUCGGAACAAGAGAAUUCAAGAGAAUGAUCAAAUGGAUUAAGUUUAUAUUGUUGAAUGUUAUACGGUUUUUAAUUAUAUGAUAAUAGUGUUGUAUGAUGUUGUCGAUGACUAAUGGUUAAGUUGUAAAUGAUGUCCACAGGAAGUACACGUAUUUUCUCUAUUACUAACGGGGAUAAGCUGACAUAGGUCGAGUCAAAGAGCAAAGAUUGUACGGGAAGAACAGUCACCUAGCUUGGAUUAUGUAACACUUGUAGUAUUAUUUUAUCAUGAAUGUUGUUAAUUCUUUUAGUAAAUGUUAAGCAUUUUGUAUUUGAGCCUUUAUGUAAGUAAUGAGUCAAUUAAAGAAAGAAACUUUA
Molecule: long non-coding RNA, 1877 nt
Filed under: Helianthus annuus (common sunflower)
Lineage: Eukaryota; Viridiplantae; Streptophyta; Magnoliopsida; Asterales; Asteraceae
Description: hypothetical non coding rna
Source: RNAcentral